GAAAAAGUACGCAAGAACUGCUAAUUCAUGCCCCCAUGCUUAAAAGCAUGGCUUUUUCA
Molecule: transfer RNA, 59 nt
Filed under: Hyaena hyaena (striped hyena)
Lineage: Eukaryota; Metazoa; Chordata; Mammalia; Carnivora; Hyaenidae
Description: tRNA-Ser
Source: RNAcentral